AGGAUUCCCCUAGUAACUGCGAGUGAAGCGGGAAAAGCUCAAAUUUAAAAUCUGGUAGUCUCUGGCUGCCCGAGUUGUAAUCUAGAGAAGCAUUAUCCGCGCUGGACCGUGUAUAAGUGUUCUGGAAUGGACCAUCAUAGAGGGUGAGAAUCCCGUCUUUGACACGGACUCCCAGGGCUUUGUGAUGUGCUCUCAAAGAGUCGAGUUGUUUGGGAAUGCAGCUCUAAAUGGGUGGUAAAUUCCAUCUAAAGCUAAAUAUUGGCGAGAGACCGAUAGCGAACAAGUACCGUGAGGGAAAGAUGAAAAGAACUUUGGAAAGAGAGUUAAACAGUACGUGAAAUUGCUGAAAGGGAAACGCUUGAAGUCAGUCGCGUUGGCUGGGGAUCAACCUUGCUUUUGCUUGGCUUACUUCCCAGUUGACGGGUCAGCAUCAGUUUUGACCGGUGGAUAAAGGCUAGGGGAAUGUGGCACCUUCGGGUGUGUUAUAGCCCUUGGUCAUAUCACUGGUUGG
This 511-nucleotide ribosomal RNA is filed under the name Termitomyces sp. symbiont of Odontotermes minutus. RNAcentral describes it as "eukaryotic LSU rRNA". It matches the Rfam family "Eukaryotic large subunit ribosomal RNA", at positions 71 to 582 of the family's 3401-position model. Lineage: Eukaryota; Fungi; Basidiomycota; Agaricomycetes; Agaricales; Lyophyllaceae. The record is from RNAcentral. RNAcentral also lists the same sequence under 1 other name.